AUCUUCCACAAUGGACGGAAGUCUGAUGGAGCAACGCCGCGUGAGCGAAGAAGGUUUUCGGAUCGUAAAGCUCUGUUGUAAGGGAAGAACACGUACUGGAGUCACUGCCCGUACCUUGACGGUACCUUAUCAGCAAGCCACGGCUAACUACGUGCCAUCAGCCUCGGUAAUCCGUAGGUGGCAAGGGUUGUCCGGAAUUAUUGGGAGUAAAGCGCGCGCAGGCGGUCCUUUAAGUCUGAUGUGAAAGCCCACGGCUCAACCGGGGAGGGUCAUUGGAAACUGGAGGACUUGAGUACAGAAGAGGAAAGCGGAAUUCCACGUGUAGCGGUGAAAUGCGUAGAGAUGUGGAGGAACACCAGUGGCGAAGGCGACUUUCUGGACUUAUACUGACGCUGAGGAACGAAAGCGUGGGGAGCAAACA
RNAcentral lists this ribosomal RNA (421 nucleotides) under uncultured bacterium. RNAcentral's name for it is "partial 16S ribosomal RNA". It matches the Rfam family "Bacterial small subunit ribosomal RNA", at positions 361 to 774 of the family's 1533-position model. The record is from RNAcentral.